GGCAGCAGCUAAGAAUAUUCCGCAAUGGACGAAAGUCUGACGGAGCGACGCCGCGUGGACGAUGAAGGCCGGAAGGUUGUAAAGUCCUUUUGGGGUCGAGGAAGGCCUCUGGAAGAGAAUGUCCGGAGGGUGACGGUAGACCGUGAAUAAGCACCGGCUAAUUACGUGCCAGCAGCCGCGGUAACACGUAAGGUGCAAGCGUUGUUCGGAUUCAUUGGGCGUAAAGGGCAUGUAGGCGGCUCAGCAAGCCUGGGGUGAAAUUGCGCGGCCUAACCGCGUAGCUGCCCCGGGAACUGCAGGGCUGGAGUCACUGAAGGGGAGCCGGAAUUCCAGGUGUAGGGGUGAAAUCUGUAGAUAUCUGGAAGAACACCGAUGGCGAAGGCAGGCUCCUGGCGGAUGACUGACGCUGAGGUGCGAAGGUGCGGGGAGCGAACAGGAUUAGAUAUCCUGGUAGUCCGCACAGUAAACGAUGCACGCUGGGUGUCCGGCCAUGAGGCUGGGUGCCGAAGCAAACGCGGUAAGCGUGCCGCCUGGGGAGUAUGCCCGCAAGGGUGAAACUCAAAGGAAUUGACGG
RNAcentral lists this ribosomal RNA (574 nucleotides) under uncultured rumen bacterium. Its description in RNAcentral is "bacterial SSU rRNA". It matches the Rfam family "Bacterial small subunit ribosomal RNA", at positions 347 to 916 of the family's 1533-position model. The record is from RNAcentral.